GUCGAGCGAACGGACGAGAAGCUUGCUUCUCUGAUGUUAGCGGCGGAGGGUGAGUAACACGGGGAUAACCUACCUAUAAGACUGGGAUAACUUCGGGAAACCGGAGCUAAUACCGGAUGAUAUUUUGAACCGCAUGGUUCAAAAGUGAAAGACGGUCUUGCUGUCACUUAUAGAUGGAUCCGCGCUGCAUUAGCUAGUUGGUAAGGUAACGGCUUACCAAGGCAACGAUGCAUAGCCGACCUGAGAGGGUGAUCGGCCACACUGAAACUGAGACACGGUCCAGACUCCUACGGGAGGCAGCAGUAGGGAAUCUUCCGCAAUGGGCGAAAGCCUGACGGAGCAACGCCGCGUGAGUGAUGAAGGUCUUCGGAUCGUAAAACUCUGUUAUUAGGGAAGAACAUAUGUGUAAGUAACUGUGCACAUCUUGACGGUACCUAAUCAGAAAGCCACGGCUAACUACGUGCCAGCAGCCGCGGUAAUACGUAGGUGGCAAGCGUUAUCCGGAAUUAUUGGGCGUAAAGCGCGCGUAGGC
This 532-nucleotide ribosomal RNA is filed under the name uncultured Staphylococcus sp. Its description in RNAcentral is "bacterial SSU rRNA". It matches the Rfam family "Bacterial small subunit ribosomal RNA", at positions 61 to 576 of the family's 1533-position model. The record is from RNAcentral. Lineage: Bacteria; Bacillati; Bacillota; Bacilli; Caryophanales; Staphylococcaceae.